Molecule: ribosomal RNA, 496 nt
Filed under: uncultured bacterium
Lineage: Bacteria
Description: partial 16S ribosomal RNA
Rfam family: Bacterial small subunit ribosomal RNA
Source: RNAcentral
GAUGAACGCUGGCGGCGUGCCUAAUACAUGCAAGUCGAGCGAACGGACGAGAAGCUUGCUUCUCUGAUGUUAGCGGCGGACGGGUGAGUAACACGUGGAUAACCUACCUAUAAGACUGGGAUAACUUCGGGAAACCGUAGCUAAUACCGGAUAAUAUUUUGAACCGCAUGGUUCAAAAGUGAAAGACGGUCUUGCUGUCACUUAUAGAUGGAUCCGCGCUGCAUUAGCUAGUUGGUAAGGUAACGGCUUACCAAGGCAACGAUGCAUAGCCGACCUGAGAGGGUGAUCGGCCACACUGGAACUGAGACACGGUCCAGACUCCUACGGGAGGCAGCAGUAGGGAAUCUUCCGCAAUGGGCGAAAGCCUGACGGAGCAACGCCGCGUGAGUGAUGAGGGUCUUCGGAUCGUAAAACUCUGUUAUUAGGGAAGAACAUAUGUGUAAGUAACUGUGCACAUCUUGACGGUACCUAAUCAGAAAGCCACGGCUAACUACGU